RNAcentral lists this ribosomal RNA (496 nucleotides) under uncultured bacterium. RNAcentral describes it as "partial 16S ribosomal RNA". It matches the Rfam family "Bacterial small subunit ribosomal RNA", at positions 28 to 506 of the family's 1533-position model. The record is from RNAcentral.
GAUGAACGCUGGCGGCGUGCCUAAUACAUGCAAGUCGAGCGAACAGACGAGGAGCUUGCUCCUCUGACGUUAGCGGCGGACGGGUGAGUAACACGUGGAUAACCUACCUAUAAGACUGGGAUAACUUCGGGAAACCGGAGCUAAUACCGGAUAAUAUAUUGAACCGCAUGGUUCAAUAGUGAAAGACGGUUUUGCUGUCACUUAUAGAUGGAUCCGCGCCGCAUUAGCUAGUUGGUAAGGUAACGGCUUACCAAGGCAACGAUGCGUAGCCGACCUGAGAGGAGGAACGGCCCAACUGGAACGAAACACCGUACCAGCCCCGAAGGGAGGGAAGGAAAGGGGAUGCUGCCGAAAAGGGGGAAAGCCUGGAGGAGCACCGCCGGGGGAGUGAAAAGGGUCUUCGAGUCGAAAAACUUUGUAAUAGGGGAAAAAAAAAUGUGAAAAAAACAUUGCCCUUCUUGACGGUCCUUAAGCAAAAAGCCACGGCAAACUACGG